This 453-nucleotide ribosomal RNA is filed under the name bacterium AND26C. RNAcentral's name for it is "bacterial SSU rRNA". It matches the Rfam family "Bacterial small subunit ribosomal RNA", at positions 71 to 520 of the family's 1533-position model. The record is from RNAcentral.
GAAGAGAGCUUGCUCUCUGAUUCAGCGGCGGACGGGUGAGUAAUGCCUAGGAAUCUGCCUGAUAGUGGGGGACAACGUUUCGAAAGGAACGCUAAUACCGCAUACGUCCUACGGGAGAAAGCAGGGGACCUUCGGGCCUUGCGCUAUCAGAUGAGCCUAGGUCGGAUUAGCUAGUUGGUGAGGUAACGGCUCACCAAGGCGACGAUCCGUAACUGGUCUGAGAGGAUGAUCAGUCACACUGGAACUGAGACACGGUCCAGACUCCUACGGGAGGCAGCAGUGGGGAAUAUUGGACAAUGGGCGAAAGCCUGAUCCAGCCAUGCCGCGUGUGUGAAGAAGGUCUUCGGAUUGUAAAGCACUUUAAGUUGGGAGGAAGGGCAUUAACCUAAUACGUUAGUGUUUUGACGUUACCGACAGAAUAAGCACCGGCUAACUUCGUGCCAGCAGCCGCGG